UAUUCUCAACCCAACCGCCACCAUGACGCAAUUCACUUCUCCUUCUCAUCUUUUCUUUCUCUUAUUCUUCCGAUUUCCUCCUCCAUGGAAAGCUACCGUCGGCAUAAAAAGCAGUCAGUGGCCCUCCCCUGUGGUGUGUCGGCAUCGUCGCAGUUACCAGUGCCCUCUCUCUCCCUGCCGUUUCCUUCCUGAAGCCCUAGUCGCGCAUCCGACUAUCGAUGCCCCAACUGCGGGUGUUCCUUGGUCGUGGUUUAGUCUUCCAAUGAUGAUUUUGAGUUGAGGGACCAACUUGGAAAAGGAAAAAAUGAAAUCCACGUUGUGGAUAGCUUGAUUUUUUCAACCCCCCUACAACCCUCUUUUGAUGGCGAUGAUUUAUUUUAUUUUUCAAGAGAGCAGUUUGCCGCGAGUGCAGGUGACGGUGGAUAAGUGCCAGAUACGGAAGAGCCUUUUGAUUGGGAGUUGGAUUUCAACUUCUCAGAUAGGUUCUACGGGAGAGCUAGCAACAUCUCGGCGUUCUUUUUCCUUGCUAAAAAAGGAUGCCGGACUUGAAGGUGAUGCUCCCUGUGUUAUGGAAAAUGAUGAUAUUUGGGCGAAAAUAGAAUUUUUUCAUGAUUCCGAAGAAGAGCACGAUGAAGAUGAAAUCAAAACUCCUUCCCGAUUCUAUGUACCCUUGAGUUCAUGUCCCUAGUGAGGACGUUGGUGAGAUCUACUCUAAUCCUUUAUUGCUUGAACAUAUCUAUGGUUUUUUUUUUUUAAAACAUUAAAGUUUUUGUGAAAUUUUUGCUGGGAAUUUGUUGCGUUUUGGUGUGCACUUGAAAAUUUGCUCUAUUAUUGCUGAAUUUCUUGUAUUGAUCAAUGUUUUGUGCUCAAAAUGAAGUCAUGCUUUUAUGUGUCCUAUGGUGCGUUGAAAAAAUUUCUUUAUUAUUGGUGGAAUUGAUGUAUUGAUCACUUUUUGUGCUGGAAAUUCAAUCAUGUUGUGAUGAUCUUUAUGUGAACAAUUUGUGUAUGAAUUUACUUUCGGCUUGCGACAUAUACUUAUAGUAAACAUUUUUCAACAAUUCAUCUCAACUUGUAAGUUCUAUGUUGAGCUAAUUUGGGGAAACAACAUUCUUUCAAUUGCAUUUCAUUGAACAAAGAAAUACCCCUGAUAUUUACAGUUGCAUAUCAUGUAAUCGCUUUCAAAAGAAAAACAUUAAAAUAUUUUUACUACAAACAUUCAAAAAGCUUACACUAUAAACCCGCAUUUACAGUUUUUUUACAGGUUUACUAAAGCAUAAACAUUUACAAAAUAUUUUUCAAAAACAUAUUCCUAUCUCUAAUAGCCGAAGUCAGUCUAAGUCUUUCAAUUCCCUUCACCUCUUUUUUUUUUCAAUAAGAUAUUGAAUGCAUUCAUGAACUAAUCCCAUAGGAACGGUGAGCUGAUUUGGGAGAUUUUCCACCCUAAAUAAACUAUAUUUUCUCAAAUGUGGAAGCUUUUAAUUAUUAUCUCCCUUAGAUUUUAUUACUUCAAUUAUACAACCUUGUAAACUUAAGAUACCUUGUUUAAUGUUUGUGGUGUCAACUCAUUGUAGCUUGUUACAACUGCAUCUACAAGUUCAUUGACAUUCUUGCAUCCUUUCUCGGUUUGUAAGCUCUGAAUUGCUCGAAACCAUCUUAAAUCAUUUACAUUAAUAUCUGGAGACUUAGGUGGUUGUUAAUUAAGAACAAUAUUGAAACUAUCGUUUAUUGAUGUAUGUACAAAAUCUAGACCGUCCCCUUUUAAGUGUGGUUUUGCAUUAACUUGCAGAAUGAAUAUAUUUUUUGAAAAUUUGGCUGACCACUUUCCUUUGAUUGCUGGAAUGACUUGCCAUAAUAUUAACCAUAAUUCUUGUCAUGUUAGAAACUAUAAAUAUUGAUCAAAUGAGUUGCAACAUUAAUCAUGAGAAAAUGUUGGGUCUUCUACUCUAAAUGAGAGAGUAUAAGACAUCCACAAUAAAUUUUCUUAUAUUUAAUGUAUAUGUAGGUGUAAAUUAUGGCUAACCUGAUUAAUCAAACAACUUUUUUAUAACCUUUCUUGUUACAAAUUAUAUUGGUUUUGUUUCCAAUGUACCAGCCACUCGAUUUUCGCUUGCUGGGACUUUCUCAGUGAAUGGAAAAAUCUCAAUUUUUUCAUCAAACAGUAAUACUCCAUCAUUGUCCCAUAUAGGUUGGGACACUUCACACAUGAACAUAAUCUUUGAGAUAAUUUUUUGCUUUUGCAUGUUCUAUGUGGAUUCUUUUCAACCGGUGUCAAGUAAAAUCGAUGGCUAGCUUUGGACAUAUAGAACCAUUUUCUUAUCCAUAUGAACUGUGUUUUGCAUACUCUAAAAUGGUGCAUUUUUAAUGCACAAAAAAACAUCAAGUGCUUGUAAGAAAAAACUUAACCUUGCACGUUUAUUUGUCUCGGUAAGUUCAGGCUUAAUAGCACUUGUAUGAGCUCUAAUAUGUGAUAAUGCAUAUAUUGUCCUACAUUUAUAUAGAUAAAUUAUAAAAUAUUAUUAAUGCUAUGGAUAGAUUUCUACUCAUUUUGGCAUGUUAUUGAUUGUUGCAAAGGAAUUGAGUAAUUCACGUUCAUGCCAUGUUUUCGAUCAAAGAAUUAUGGAAGGACUUGAACUACGCUCUCAUGUUAAGGAAAGAGGUGGAUUACGGGAAUCAAAGCAUAAUUGUUAGCAUCAUGAUUGAGAGGAAGCAAUUACAGGAGCAAUUAAAGACCUGAUCAUCUAUAAAAAGGGGGCCAAGGAAUGGGAUGAGAAAUUAAGCUUCACAGUCCCUGUGGAUCGACCUCGGCAACACUUGCUACGCGGAAAUGGUGGUGUAGAGUAUUUUUAUUGGAAGCACCGAGGCUACCAAGUUUUGGCGCCGUUGCCGGGGACUGGCGUUUGAUUUAUUUCUUUUCUUGUCAUUCAAUUAUAUUUUAUUAUUAUAUAUUAUAUAUUUAAUAGUUUAUGCCCCACUCUUUUUGUGCAGAAAAUUUAAUAUAAGAAGCGAAAAUCGAGAGGUUCGCAAGGACAUUGCGGAAAGAAACAAGAAGAAAACUGAAAUUUGAGAAGGCUUCGAGUUCGCAACCAAGUGAAUAGAUCAAGCAAGAGUCCAAUAUAGCGGAAGAAGAUACCCACACGCUCAGGGAGUUGGCUGCGCCUAAUUUGAAUUUACAACCUCUAUGUAUUACUUUGCUGGAAAUUGAAGGAAUUUGAUGUGGUUUGCUUGAGCAUGAAACCACCAACGGUUACCGAAGAACAAGUAAAGCUACGUGCAUUCCCUUUUCUCAUUGAAGGAUGCGGCAAAUGAAUGGCUCUUUUGUCUACCAGUGGGAAGCAUCACUACUUGGAGGGACAUGAAAAAGAAAAAUUUGGGGAUGUAUUUCCCGGCAUCGCGGGCGGCGACAUUGCGCAAGGAAAUUUGCAGAAUCAAACAACAAGAAAGAGAGACAUUGCAUGGAUAUCUGGAGAGGUUCAACAAGCUUUGAGCACGGUGCCCACAACACCAGAUUACUGACCAACUGUUGCUCCAAUACUUUUACGAAGGACUGGGCAUGCGAGACCGGAACAACAUUGAUGCUGCUAGCCAAGGACCGUUGGCGGAUAAAACACCGAAAGCCGUAUGGGAGUUUUCUAAGAGGAUGGCAGAGAAUUCGCAGCAGUUCGAAGUAGAGGAGUCGAAUAUUUGGAAGGUAAUGAUUAUCUUCAUCAACAAAUUUUCAAACUUACAAAAAUUGUUCAUCAAUUGGCUGCAAGAAAUACAUGCCAUGUGAGAGCGUGUGGCAUUUUCACAAGCCUGGAGCAUCCCACCGAUGCAUGCCCUGCCUUGCACGAGGAAAGUCAUGCCGAUGUGAAUGUAGCCGGUUUUGGUCCACUAAUUUUUGGCGCUGUUUCUGGGGUGGAGGAAUAAUCCGAAUCUCAGGUAUGAGAAUCCAAAACAUCAAGGGUUUCGACCUUAAGCACCUCCGCAACAAUUCUUCCAGCCACCACCUUCACCAAACCAAUCUAUCAUGCCACUAGAUGAAAUGAUGAAGACCAUGGCUACCAACACCAUUCAAUUUCAACAAGAUACGAGGGAGAGCAUUCAAAACCUUAAAACCCAAUGGAGCAAAUGGUGGCAGAUCUUCGCCAUGUCAAAGAAAGAGAGACGGGAAAAUGGCCAUCACAACCGGAAAGGAACCCAAAGAAUAUUAGUGCCAUGAAUUUAUGGAUUGAGAAGACAGUUGAAGCUCCGGAACCAAUCAUCUCGAAGGACAAAGACAAGAGCACCAUCGAGAAAGAAGAUGCGAGGAAAAAUGAGGUAAUUGAUGAAACUGUCCCUAAAUUGAAUACUAAUCUUGCCUCUUUUCCUUCCAGGUUGGCAAAGCCGAAAAGAGAGAAUGAGGUUUUGGAGAUUUUUCGAAAGGUCGAGUUCAAUAUACCCCUAUUGGACGCAAUCCACCAAAUUCUAAAGUACGCAAAGUUCUUAAAAGAGUUGUGUACCAACAAGCAGAAAUUGAAGGGAGAUGAAUGCAUCAUUGCAAGCGAGAAUAUCUCGGCACUACUCCAAAAAAAACUUCCACCAAAGUGCGGAGACCCAGGUAUGUUCACUAUCCCAUGUAAAAUAGGAGAGUUAGAAGUCAAGUGUGCUAUGUUAGAUUUAGGUGCGGCAAUUAAUAUCAUGCCAAAAUCAAUUUAUAAUUGUUUGAAUCUUGCACUAGUAAAGAAGACUGAGAUUGUUAUUCAACUUACUAAUAGGACACAUGCAUAUCCGAAUGAAUUAUAAAGGAUGUCCUUGUCCAAGUAUUUGAUUUUCCCAGUCGACUUCUAUGUCUUAGAAAUGCAUGAUGAACAUUCACCCAACCCAUCACCACUACUCUUAGGGAGACCUUUCAUGUGUACGGUGGUACUAAGAUUGAUGUUAAGCAUGGUAAUUGGAUGAUGAAAUUUGAUGGAGAAAAAAUUGAAUUUAAAAUUUUUGAUGCAAUUGAACAUCUCUCAGAUUCUCACUCGGUCUUUUCGUUAGAUAUUAUUGAAUUUGAAGUGCAAGAUGCUUUUAAGGUAAGAGACAAGGAGGCGCUAGAAGGGAUUUUACACAGGUAUGCCCAUGCUCAUUUAUUCUCGCCCGAGACUAAUACAUAUUUAUUGCCUUCGAUGUGCAACCACCGGAGUUGGAAUUAAAGCCGCUACCGAAUCAUUUGAGAUAUUCUCAUUUAGGAGACGGUGAGAUACUACCAUUGAUAAUUUCAUCCACAAUGAUGAAAGCCAAAAGGAAUGAGUUCAAGAACGAUACAAAGUGUUACAUGUGGGAUGACCCUUCAAGGAUGGAGAAGAAGUUUGUUUGGAUGGCUCUUGAGGGACCUUCGUCCUAAAUUCUCAAUUAAUAAAGUAUAGCCAAAUAUGUUAAAAAAAUGCGCUUUUGGGAGGCAACCCAAUUUUAUUAAUUUAUUUUUCUUUCUCUUGUAUGUUAAUUGGCUUGUCCUAGCUUUCCAUAGGUGAUGGUGAUCUCAGCAUGCCUGGACUAUAUUUUGAGCACUUAAGAAUAUCAUUUCAGCAAGUGGCACGACUUUAGGCAUGCCUAUUCUGGCCUGGCAGCAUGUCCAUGCUAGAUGAAUUUAUCAGAGUUUGUGAAGAUCUUGCGCACCACCCCCACCCGGUUCAGGGAAAUCCUGUUGUCCUUUGCUCUUUUUCUUUUUUGAAAUUCAUUUACAUUGAUGACAAUGUGCAUAAUCAGGGCGGGGGGGAUAUCAAUCAUUUUACCGAUUGCAUGACUAACUUGCGUGCUAAAGACUUUGUGUAUUUCUUUUCAUUAGAUGAAUUUUCGAUGAAGUAGACGAUAAAUAUGCUGAGCAUGACAUGUUUUACCCUAUGAGAGAUUUGAGCCUAAUAGAGCAUUCACUUUAAAUGCUAUAUAUUUCUUCUUGUGUUUGAUUGUUACUCUAGACUUGGUUUUCUAGAACUUGCGUAGAGAUGCAUGUCUAAUUUGAUUUCCUAUGAGUCUAUGCGAUUAAUAUGAUAAGGGCAUUAAGAUGAACCAUUUGACCUAAUAUAUUUCGUACCUAAAAAAAUUAAUCACUUAGUGAGCCCCUUUGAGCUUGAAUACCCUAUUUUAUUGUUAAACGAGCCGCAUAGUAACCUAUGACCUUUCUUUCUAAAGCCAAAAUUUAUUUGAACAUAUAGUCAAAGGAAAAUGUUUCGAGCUAUAUUAUUUUAAAGUUUCCAAAGGAAUGAGAAGUUAUGUCUAUUUAUUGUUGUUUAUUGCUUAUGAAAGAAAAGUAAAAAAAAAAAAGUUAAAAGGAUUAAGAAAGGACUGAGAAAAGCCAAAAAAAAAAAAAAAAAAGAAACAUGGCACAAAUUUUCAUUGCAUUAUAUCGGGAAGGAGCAUUUUGGUGUUAACUUAUCGGUUGAGUUGGGUGUACUACGGGUUAUCUUGGUGAGCAUUCUUCUUAUGUACUUUUCAAGAAUAAACUCUUGAGUAUGCAUGUUAAUGAAGGAAUAAGUGAGGGAUGAGAAGUUUUACGUAGUAUUAUCUAUCUUGGGAUACAUAGAGUCUAUAUAUUACAAAAUAAGCUUGGAAUAUUUUCUUUUUGACUUAUUUAAAGACCCUUUGAUUUUUUGCAUUAGAUUUCGAAGAAUUAAAAGAUGUGAUCAAUAUGCAAGCCUAUGGGAUAAUCAUUUUUACGAUGCGACACGAGUGACUUGUUAAUCCAAUAUAUUUGAGUGCCGAGUGUAUACACUUUAUUCAUAGUGAUGUUAUGUUGCGCUCGGUGUGUUUUGAGUUUCACUGAGAUAGUGAUAAUGUGAAUUUGUUUCUGAAGAUUAUGAUUGCAUCAAGUUCUUGCGUGUGCUUGUUUGGUUUAUGCUUGAGGGCAAGCAUGGUUUAGGUGUGGGAGAAUUGAUAAUGCAUAUAUUGUCCUAUAUUUAUAUAGAUAAAUUAUAAAAUACCAUUAAUGUUAUGGAUAGAUUUCUACUCAUUUUGGCAUGUUAUUGAUUGGUGCAAAGAAAUUGAGUAAUUCACGCUCAUGCCAUGUUUUCGAUCAAAGAAUUAUGGAAAGACUUGAAUUACGCUCUCAUGUUAAGGAAAGAGGUGGAUUAUGAGAAUCAAUGCAUAAUUGUUGGCAUCAUGAUUGAGAGGGAGCAAUUACAUGAGCAAUUAAAGACCCGAUUAUCUAUAAAAAGGUGGCCAAGGCAUGGGAUGAGAUAUCACAAUUCACAUUCACCUUUCAUAGUCUAAGCGAAGGAUUGAGAAGGACGGUUUGAAAAGGAAGCGCAUCCGUUUCUAAUCAAAGACCGUUGCGGCACUGAUAACCUCUCAAUUGCUUCCAAAUCAGAACAAUUAAACUUCUUGGCGUCUUCAACGAGUGCUCCUUUCCUUAAGCUAUUCCGAAUAAUCGAUUCUUCCCAAUAUAAACUCCAACAACCUAUUAUGCUCUAUUUUUGUUAUGAUUUUUUUGCUCAUUUUAUGGUUAGAGGUUUGUGUUUGAUUUUGGUUUUAAUGCUCUACUUUGUGAAGUACUGUCUGGUUGUAUAUUUACGGGGGAGUGAAAAAUGAUGAUUUUGUGAAUUUUUGUUGGGCGAAGUAAUUUUUUUUUGCAAGAAAUGUUUUGGAGAAGGGUUGAGUUUAAUUUAGUUUUAAAUACUCUGGUAGUGUAUUUACGAUGGGUGAAACUGAUGAUUUUGU
Andrographis paniculata is the source of this 7656-nucleotide long non-coding RNA. RefSeq lists it as uncharacterized. The record is from RefSeq and is a predicted model, not a curated record. The transcript has 5 exons. NCBI's taxonomy places the organism in Eukaryota, Viridiplantae, Streptophyta, Magnoliopsida, Lamiales, Acanthaceae.